GUGCUCGCUUCAGCAGCACAUCUACUAAAGUUGGAACGACAGAGAGAAGAUUAGCAUGGCCCCUGCACAAGGAUGACAUGCAAAUGCAUGAAGAGCUCCAUAUUUUU
Gorilla gorilla gorilla (western lowland gorilla) is the source of this 107-nucleotide small nuclear RNA. The record is from Ensembl. Lineage: Eukaryota; Metazoa; Chordata; Mammalia; Primates; Hominidae.